GGCCAAGACCUGGUGACUGUUCUCUGAAAUGCCCUUCAGUUUUACUGGAAGGAGAAACUACAAAUAACAGUCAUGGGAACCUAACAGUUUCCAGAAGCCAGACUGACAAAGAAAAGCAUAAAGGACAAGCAACAGCAUGAUGCCUAAAGUAACUGGCUUGUUGCUUUACCACCCUGGGCCUGUAACCUUUAGGUUUAAAUAGAGUAGGCGUUUCAUUGUAUGGCAUUUUACUUGGUACGAAACAAGAAUUGGAGGCACUUGUUAAAGUAUUUACUGAAGGUGGAUGUGCCUUGAUAAUACCUAAAUAAUAUCAUUUUGUAGAUAUCCUUUCUUUGCUCUGACCAAAGCAUUUCAUCAUUUAUUUGGAGCAAAACUAAACAAGACACCAACAACAAAAAAUAAUUUCUUACACAAUUCACAUAUUCUGGGUUGAGCAUUUAAAGUGUCUAAAUUCUAUUUAUUCUUUAUGACUCUUUCCUUCACAUUAUUGCAAACUUAAUAGGCAUUUUUUUUAAUGAAAAUCAUGAGUGAUUCUUUUAAAAAUACCAAAAGCAAAUAUUACUAGUUGAAUUUUAAGUUAUUUUAUUUUCCUGCAGUUAUAAAAAAUAACCCUAUCAUCUUUUUAAGACUCAGCUUGUCUCUGUUCCUUAAUUUUUUAAUUGUUUCAAGUCAGCUGUUCAUGAGAGUAAAAAUAAGGAAGGUUCAAAAGAAUGAGGAAGCCAAACUAAGUCACUUUUAUUCUGGAGAAACGUAUAGUUAAUAGAAAUUAAAGAAAUUUCAUCAUUUCUGGAGGAAGCCCUGUAUAUGAGAACUGUGAUACAUGCAAAUUAUUUCCAUAGUGUUCUUAACAUUCAUAAUUUAAAGGUAAUUACAACUCUUUUAUAUUAUUAUAGUUAACAGCAUAUUUUGUAGUAUCAUUAUCCAGUUAAAAUCAUAUUCUGAGAAUUUAUUUCAGAUAAGUGAUAUUUUAUAGGUUUUAGUUAUUAUGUGUUGUGGCAUAAAUGCAUUCUUUGGGUAGUUAGCUGACUAACUUUAUUAAUAAUCUAUAUUUUCUAGUGAAUAAUAUUUUGAUUUAAUAUUAUGGGAUGAAGACAAAUUUUUUUCUUUUUUAAAAAUAUAAUUGUUAGGCCAAUUUCUUCACAAAAUUAAGCUUCCUGUAUUAUUAUUCUAUUCUGCAUGCCUUUAAUUAUAUGAAUAUAUUACUUGAAUUAAUCCUCAUUUAUGAUAUUUAUAAAGGCAAAAAUGGUUUCUUCAACAUUAAUGUACUCAUAAAAUGUUAUUUGGUUUUGGACUAGCAGAAAACCCCAUCUGUAGUCGACAUUUAGGCAAUGCCUAAGUUCAAAAUUUUCCAAAUUUGAUAUGGAUAUCAUUUUUAGAGAUUUUUAUGGCACUGGAAUUUUGUAGAACACUGUUUAAGAGACAUUGCCUUGAAGAAAGAUCUUUGUCUUCAUAGGCAAACUACAAUUCUGCAAGCAUUAUUUAUAAAACUUUGCAUAUACCUGAAAAGUAAUUAAAUUUAGAUUUGAGUUUUA
This 1532-nucleotide long non-coding RNA is filed under the name Marmota monax (woodchuck). Lineage: Eukaryota; Metazoa; Chordata; Mammalia; Rodentia; Sciuridae. The record is from RNAcentral.